Molecule: ribosomal RNA, 174 nt
Filed under: Triticum aestivum (bread wheat)
Lineage: Eukaryota; Viridiplantae; Streptophyta; Magnoliopsida; Poales; Poaceae
Description: partial small subunit ribosomal RNA
Source: RNAcentral
AUGGACAUGGGGCCUCCAGCCAAGUAUCGGGUGCCGCCGCAGCAGCAGGAGGCUUGGCUUGAGACAGUGAGGUCCGAAGGGGACCUUGGCACCCAGAUCUACAAUGGCCAUAGUACUGGUGGCCAUGAUGGCACCAACUUCGGCUUCUUUCCUAGUCAUAUGAAUAUGUUGUAA